CAGAAAUUUUUAGUAAAAUAAUUUGAUAAUUCCCAAUUUAAAACUGCAACAGAAAUUUAACCAAACCUAGCAAAAUUCGAAGGAUUUCGAUUGAACUUAUAUAGAAGUCUUUCAGUAAUGUAAAAAUCUCACUAAUUUUCGACAAUCACUUGUUGACCACACUCGACAAGGAGAAAUUGAAGAAGUAAAACAAAGAAAAAAAAUAAAAGAAAAAAUAAAAAGAAAGAAGAAGAGGAAAAGAUACAAACGUUAACUAACAGAAAUUCUCUUAACACAUACAAUGGG
This 285-nucleotide long non-coding RNA is filed under the name Gossypium raimondii (Peruvian cotton). RNAcentral's name for it is "long non-coding RNA (GRAI_LNC003644)". The record is from RNAcentral. Lineage: Eukaryota; Viridiplantae; Streptophyta; Magnoliopsida; Malvales; Malvaceae.